This 253-nucleotide ribosomal RNA is filed under the name uncultured bacterium. Its description in RNAcentral is "partial 16S ribosomal RNA". It matches the Rfam family "Bacterial small subunit ribosomal RNA", at positions 524 to 776 of the family's 1533-position model. The record is from RNAcentral.
UACGUAGGGUGCGAGCGUUAAUCGGAAUUACUGGGCGUAAAGCGUGCGCAGGCGGUUCGUUGUGUCGGCGGUGAAAGCCCCGGGCUUAACCUGGGAAUGGCCGUUGAAACUGGCGAACUGGAGUGUGGCAGAGGGGGGUGGAAUUCCGCGUGUAGCAGUGAAAUGCGUAGAGAUGCGGAGGAACACCGAUGGCGAAGGCAGCCCCCUGGGCUAACACUGACGCUCAGGUGCGACAGCGUGGGGAGCAAACAGG